Molecule: ribosomal RNA, 206 nt
Filed under: uncultured bacterium
Lineage: Bacteria
Description: partial 16S ribosomal RNA
Rfam family: Bacterial small subunit ribosomal RNA
Source: RNAcentral
UGUGUAGGCUGUUCUCUAAGUUUGGUGUGAAAUCUCCCGGCUUAACUGGGAGGGUGCGCCGAAAACUGGAGGGCUUGAGUAUGGGAGAGGAAAGCGGAAUUCCUGGUGUAGCGGUGAAAUGCGUAGAUAUCAGGAGGAACACCUGCGGUGUAGACGGCUUUCUGGACCAUCACUGACGCUGAGACACGAAAGCGUGGGAGCAAACA